GGAGAGUUGACAGAGUGGUCUAAUGUGCCUGUCUUGAAAACAGGUGUUCCGAGAGGAACCGGGGGUUCGAAUCCCUCACUCUCCG
This 85-nucleotide transfer RNA is filed under the name Candidatus Dojkabacteria bacterium. RNAcentral describes it as "tRNA-Ser". It matches the Rfam family "tRNA". Rfam says of the family: Transfer RNA (tRNA) molecules are approximately 80 nucleotides in length. Their secondary structure includes four short double-helical elements and three loops (D, anti-codon, and T loops). The record is from RNAcentral.